This is a long non-coding RNA of Engraulis encrasicolus (European anchovy), 557 nucleotides long. RefSeq lists it as uncharacterized. The transcript is spliced from 3 exons. The record is from RefSeq and is a predicted model, not a curated record. NCBI's taxonomy places the organism in Eukaryota, Metazoa, Chordata, Actinopteri, Clupeiformes, Engraulidae.
GUUCCUCCAACAGAUCCCACCUCGACCCAACAGCAGCAGCAGCAGCAGCAGGAGAAGAAGUCAGCUAGGGGAGCUCAGUGCUAAGCACAGGGACGGCCCGUGCCAGCGACCUGUCAGUGAAAAGCCAGUGCUAUAUGAGGAGUUGCAAUAAGGCAGAACGUGUGUGUGUGUUAGUCUGGCCCUUCUUGGAGGACUGCUCUGAAGACUAGCAGGCGUUCAGAGUAGAUGUCAAACACGUACGAGAGCUACGCGAGGAUGAGCAACUUGACAGACUUCCAGUCGACCUGUCAAAAAAUGGGGGGGAAGGCUAAGCCUGCCAUGCAUCGCUGCCAUGCUGAUGAUGGGCGGGAUUGGUUCUCCUACCAGACUGCACAAUGUUGUCUUAAAAACAGUAUGGCCCAAAUUAAGCAGAGCUGAAGAUUGUGUAUUUUUUUUUGUAAAAUUUAACAAUAAAAUGACAAAGGAAAGACGGUCAUAAAAUAGCAGGCUAUUGUCUCUAUGUUACUAACAAUUGGUGACAUGGUUGGGGUAUGGUCAGUUUGAAAGAACAGAUAAUA